CCCUCUAUUUCCUUUCAGAAACCCAAUUCUCUGUCGAAAUUUAUGCCAAAAGGAAAGUCAAGUUCAUAGAAUCGAGAGAUUUCUUUAUGAUACCAUAACUUUCACUUAACCCAAUUUCAAGUCCCCGCAAAGCGAUGACGUGGUAGAUGCCACUCCAUAUGCGUCCUCUAGUAACUGGGAAACUGGGCUUUGGUCAUGAAACUUUGCUUGUCGCUGGCUUGUUCCGCCUUAAAGUGUCACCGGGCAGAGCAAAAACAGUCGCGACAUAUGCAAAACCCGGCAACGAUAAGCGAACAAGCCACACCCACACCUAGUAGUGGCAGGUUCCCCUUAGGGAGGGGAAAGGAGCGGAACACACACACAGUCGGUGCCUGGCACGAUAUGUGCAACAUCUAGCAGCCAAGCGCGUAUGCAGAAAAUUUCCACAUUGCAGCAAAGGGCCUCUAAAGUUUUAUGCAUUCGUCCUUGCCGAAGGAGCAAGCAGAGCAAACUAACGACAAAAAAAAAGAAGAGAGAGAACAGAGAAAAGGAAACCGGGAGCAUUGUCGCCAAUUGUGUGAUCCGAGACAUGCGGGAAAUCGUGGGGGGAUGUGCAAGACUUUAUGCUCAUCGAUUGCCAGCUGCUCCGGGGGAUACUGGGUCCUAAGCUUUAACCUUCAAGUUCGAUAGUUUCAUUGGCACCUCCAGCUACGUUUGGUUUUCUUUUCUAGCUAAAAUAAAAUGGCAAAAGCCCUUUAUUA
Drosophila kikkawai is the source of this 740-nucleotide long non-coding RNA. RefSeq lists it as uncharacterized. The record is from RefSeq and is a predicted model, not a curated record. NCBI's taxonomy places the organism in Eukaryota, Metazoa, Arthropoda, Insecta, Diptera, Drosophilidae.